Molecule: small nuclear RNA, 191 nt
Filed under: Penaeus monodon (black tiger shrimp)
Lineage: Eukaryota; Metazoa; Arthropoda; Malacostraca; Decapoda; Penaeidae
Description: U2 spliceosomal RNA
Rfam family: U2 spliceosomal RNA
About the family: U2 is a small nuclear RNA (snRNA) component of the spliceosome (involved in pre-mRNA splicing). Complementary binding between U2 snRNA (in an area lying towards the 5' end but 3' to hairpin I) and the branchpoint sequence (BPS) of the intron results the bulging out of an unpaired adenosine, on the BPS, which initiates a nucleophilic attack at the intronic 5' splice site, thus starting the first of two transesterification reactions that mediate splicing.
Source: RNAcentral
AUCGCUUCUCGGCCUUUUGGCUAAGAUCAAAGUGUAGUAUCUGUUCUUAUCAGCUUAUAUCUGAUACGAUCCCCAUGUGGGAUCUACGAUAUUAAACUGAUUUUUGGAAAAUGGCGAAGUGCUAGGGCUUGCUCCCCCUUUUGCCGCGGAUCGGCCCGGUAUUGCAGUACCUCCGGGAUUGUCCACUCCCC